Molecule: ribosomal RNA, 253 nt
Filed under: uncultured bacterium
Lineage: Bacteria
Description: partial 16S ribosomal RNA
Rfam family: Bacterial small subunit ribosomal RNA
Source: RNAcentral
UACAGAGGUGGCAAGCGUUGUUCGGAAUUACUGGGCGUAAAGGGCGCGUAGGCGGUUCGUUAAGUCCUGUGUGAAAUCCCCCGGCUCAACUGGGGAACUGCACAGGAAACUAGCGGGCUUGAGUUCGGGAGAGGGAAGCGGAAUUCCGGGUGUAGCGGUGAAAUGCGUAGAUAUGCGGAGGAACACCGAUGGCGAAGGCAGCCCCCUGGGCUAACACUGACGCUCAGGCACGAAAGCGUGGGGAGCAAACAGG